Molecule: unclassified non-coding RNA, 403 nt
Filed under: soil metagenome
Description: partial contains 5.8S ribosomal RNA, internal transcribed spacer 2, and large subunit ribosomal RNA
Rfam family: 5.8S ribosomal RNA (bases 1-121)
Source: RNAcentral
GAUGAAGAACGCAGCGAAAUGCGAUAAGUAAUGCGAAUUGCAGAAUUCCAGUGAGUCAUCGAAUCUUUGAACGCACAUUGCGCCUCUAGGUAUUCCUGGAGGCACGCCUGUUCGAGCGCCAUUACACACUCCAAGCUCUGCUUGAUGUUGGACCGUCCGAGUCACAGACUCGGAGGUCUGGAACGUGUGGGCGUCGGGCGUCGGACCACGAGCGUAGCAAGACUUUUAAUCGGUCACGAUCGUUCUGUGGAGCCGGCGGUUGACGGUCUUCUUCCUCUCUCUCUCCCUUCCUCCUUGGAAGGCUGAGGGGUGGGAACAUUCUUUCCCCAAUGGAAAAAACAAAGUUUGGCCUCGGAUCAGGCGGGGAUACCCGCUGAACUUAAGCAUAUCAAUAAGCGGAGGA